Molecule: ribosomal RNA, 460 nt
Filed under: uncultured bacterium
Lineage: Bacteria
Description: partial 16S ribosomal RNA
Rfam family: Bacterial small subunit ribosomal RNA
Source: RNAcentral
CCUACGGGAGACAGCAGUGAGGAAUAUUGGUCAAUGGGCGCUAGCCUGAACCAGCCAAGUAGCGUGAAGGAUGACUGCCCUAUGGGUUGUAAACUUCUUUUAUAUGGGAAUAAAGUGCAGUAUGUAUACUGCUUUGCAUGUACCCUAUGAAUAAGGAUCGGCUAACCCCGUGCCAGCAGCAGCGGUAAUACGGAGGAUCCGAGUGUUAUCCGGAUUUAUUGGGUUUAAAGGGAGCGUAGGCGGGUUGUUAAGUCAGUUGUGAAAGUUUGGGGCUCAACCUUAAAAUUGCAGUUGAUACUGGCAUCCUUGAGUACAGUAGAGGUAGGCGGAAUUCGUGGUGUAGCGGUGAAAUGCUUAGAUAUCACGAGGAACACCGAUUGCGAAGGCAGCCUGCUGGACUGUAACUGACGCUGAUGCGCGAAAGUGUGGGUAGCAAACAGGAUUAGAUACCCUGGUAGUC